CCAACUACACCCACAUCCAGAUCUGCCUCGCUGACCUUGCGUGUCCCCAUUCCCGGAAAGCCUCGGCCAUUUGCCUGCUCCGUAACCUCCAGCCAACACAGCUUGGGAUUAAAACAAAAGAACAAACUGGUUCGGGGUUUACUGUGGCCAAAUCACAGCCACCCAAAUCACAGGAAUAUUACCAAGUCUGGUGGAAAACCAAAGGUAGGAGUCCCCUGGAGAUAUUCCCCUCCAACCAUUGGGGUGAGGAGAAGACUCACCCUUUCUCCAAACACUGUUUUGACUGAGCUUCCUCGGUGCUUCACCUGCUGCCACAGGGCCACUAGCACCUCCUCACUCCAGCAGCUGCAGGACCUUGCCCCAAAAAAACCUCA
This 374-nucleotide long non-coding RNA is filed under the name Calidris pugnax (ruff). Its description in RNAcentral is "lncRNA (ENSCPUG00000011174.1)". Lineage: Eukaryota; Metazoa; Chordata; Aves; Charadriiformes; Scolopacidae. The record is from RNAcentral.